UACGGAAUGUGCAAACGUUAUUCGGAAUCACUGGGCUUAAAGAGUCCGUAGGCGGCAUGUUAGGUGAGGUGUGAAAUCCCCCGGCUCAACCGAGGAAUUGCGCUUCAAACCGGCGUGCUUGAGGAAGAUAGAGGUGGGCGGAACUGAUGGUGGAGCGGUGAAAUGCGUUGAUAUCAUCAGGAACACCGGAGGCGAAGGCGGCCAGCUGGGCCGUUGCUGACGCUGAGGCGCGACAGCGUGGGGAGCAAACAGG
This 253-nucleotide ribosomal RNA is filed under the name uncultured bacterium. RNAcentral's name for it is "partial 16S ribosomal RNA". It matches the Rfam family "Bacterial small subunit ribosomal RNA", at positions 524 to 776 of the family's 1533-position model. The record is from RNAcentral.